AUUGAACGCUGGCGGCAUGCCUUACACAUGCAAGUCGAACGGCAGCACGGGAGCAAUCCUGGUGGCGAGUGGCGAACAGGUGAGUAAUAUAUCGGAACGUGCCCAGUCGUGGGGGAUAACGUAGCGAAAGCUACGCUAAUACCGCAUACGAUCUAUGGAUGAAAGCGGGGGAUCGCAAGACCUCGCGCGAUUGGAGCGGCCGAUAUCAGAUUAGGUAGUUGGUGAGGUAAAGGCUCACCAAGCCGACGAUCUGUAGCUGGGUCUGAGAGGACGACCAGCCACACUGGGACUGAGACACGGCCCAGACUCCUACGGGAGGUCAGCAGUGGGAAUUUUGGGACAAUGGGCGCAAGCCUGAUCCAGC
RNAcentral lists this ribosomal RNA (364 nucleotides) under uncultured bacterium. RNAcentral's name for it is "bacterial SSU rRNA". It matches the Rfam family "Bacterial small subunit ribosomal RNA", at positions 30 to 392 of the family's 1533-position model. The record is from RNAcentral.